AAUGAACGCUGGCGGCAGGCCUAACACAUGCAAGUCGAACGGAGCAGCAAUGCUCAGUGGCGGACGGGUGAGUAACGCGUGGGAACAUACCCUUUGGUACGGAAUAGCCUCGGGAAACUGGGAGUAAUACCGUAUGUGCUCGCAAGAGGAAAGAUUUAUCGCCAAAGGAUUGGCCCGCGUUGGAUUAGGUAGUUGGUGGGGUAAUGGCCUACCAAGCCGACGAUCCAUAGCGGUUUGAGAGGAUGAUCAGCCACACUGGGACUGAGACACGGCCCAGACUCCUACGGGAGGCAGCAGUGGGGAAUCUUAGACAAUGGGGAAACCCUGAUCUAGCCAUGCCGCGUGAUCGAUGAAGGCCUUAGGGUUGUAAAGAUCUUUCAGUUGGGAAGAUAAUGACGGUACCAACAGAAGAAGCCCCGCUAACUCCGUGCCAGCCGCCGCCGUAAC
RNAcentral lists this ribosomal RNA (447 nucleotides) under uncultured bacterium. RNAcentral's name for it is "bacterial SSU rRNA". It matches the Rfam family "Bacterial small subunit ribosomal RNA", at positions 29 to 524 of the family's 1533-position model. The record is from RNAcentral.